UACUGAGUGCUUACUAUGUGCCAGGC
RNAcentral lists this non-coding RNA (26 nucleotides) under Equus caballus (horse). RNAcentral also lists the same sequence under 4 other names. Lineage: Eukaryota; Metazoa; Chordata; Mammalia; Perissodactyla; Equidae. The record is from RNAcentral.